UUAGGCCUGAUGGGGUGACUGAUCAAGCAUUACGAAUUUCAAAGUACGUAUUUCUUUACUGAAUCAACGUCAACGCAACCAAGGAAUCACAUACGACAGCUACGAUAGACGAGUUAGAAGGAGCGACUCUAUUGCUUAGGACAGGUUAGGAUAGGUUAGGCCUGCAAGGGUGACUGCUUAUACAUUAAAAAUUUUCAAGUACGUAUUUCUUAACUGAAUCAACGUAAACACAACCAAGGAUUCACAUACGACAGCUACGAUAGACGAGUUAGAAGGAGCGACUCUAUUGCUUAGGGUAGGUUAGGAUAGGUUAGGUGUGCUCGGGUGACUGUUUAAGCUUUACGAAUUUUCAAGUACGUAUUUCUUAACCGAAUCAACGUCAACACAACCAAGGAAUCACACACGACAGCUUCGAUUGAUGAGACUGAUAAGUGAACUCUAUUGCUUAAGUAAGGUUAGGUUAGGUUAAGCUUGCUGGGGUAAGUUCUAUUAGUCUUUCGCUCCUAGUAAUGUGUGGGGCAGUUUCCUUUGUUUAUGAAUUUCAAAGAUCGUAUAACCGUACCGUACAACCAAUAAGUUAGAAGGAGUGGACUAUAUCGCUAAAGUCAGGUGUGCUGGGGUAAGUUCUAUCAGUCUUUCGCUCAUGUUAAAGUGUUUACGAAUUUCAAAGCACGUAUUUCUCAGAUGAAUCAACGUCAAGACAACCAAUGAGUUAGAAAGAGCGAACUCUAUUGCUCAGGAUAGGUUAGGUUAGGUGUGCUGGGGCAAGUUCUAUCAGUCUUGCGCUCCUAGUAAAGUGUGGGGCAGAGUUUCCUUUGUUUACGAGGGUAGGAGGAGAAGGAGGGCGGAACCUUAGCGUUUACGAGAGCGCUCUCUUGGAAGCCGCUGUGACCUGUCGACUGGCGCCCUGUGAAAGAAACGCCACAUGAGAGAGAGAGAGAGAGAGAGAGAGAGAGAGAGAGAGAGAGAGAGAGAGAGAGAGAGAGAGAGAGAGAGAGAGAGAGAGAA
This is a long non-coding RNA of Eriocheir sinensis (Chinese mitten crab), 1008 nucleotides long. RefSeq lists it as uncharacterized. The transcript is spliced from 2 exons. The record is from RefSeq and is a predicted model, not a curated record. NCBI's taxonomy places the organism in Eukaryota, Metazoa, Arthropoda, Malacostraca, Decapoda, Varunidae.